Molecule: ribosomal RNA, 570 nt
Filed under: Bacillus tequilensis
Lineage: Bacteria; Bacillati; Bacillota; Bacilli; Caryophanales; Bacillaceae
Description: bacterial SSU rRNA
Rfam family: Bacterial small subunit ribosomal RNA
Source: RNAcentral
AGCUUGCUCCCUGAUGUUAGCGGCGGACGGGUGAGUAACACGUGGGUAACCUGCCUGUAAGACUGGGAUAACUCCGGGAAACCGGGGCUAAUACCGGAUGGUUGUUUGAACCGCAUGGUUCAAACAUAAAAGGUGGCUUCGGCUACCACUUACAGAUGGACCCGCGGCGCAUUAGCUAGUUGGUGAGGUAACGGCUCACCAAGGCAACGAUGCGUAGCCGACCUGAGAGGGUGAUCGGCCACACUGGGACUGAGACACGGCCCAGACUCCUACGGGAGGCAGCAGUAGGGAAUCUUCCGCAAUGGACGAAAGUCUGACGGAGCAACGCCGCGUGAGUGAUGAAGGUUUUCGGAUCGUAAAGCUCUGUUGUUAGGGAAGAACAAGUACCGUUCGAAUAGGGCGGUACCUUGACGGUACCUAACCAGAAAGCCACGGCUAACUACGUGCCAGCAGCCGCGGUAAUACGUAGGUGGCAAGCGUUGUCCGGAAUUAUUGGGCGUAAAGGGCUCGCAGGCGGUUUCUUAAGUCUGAUGUGAAAGCCCCCGGCUCAACCGCGGAGGGUCAUUGGAA